Molecule: unclassified non-coding RNA, 207 nt
Filed under: uncultured fungus
Lineage: Eukaryota; Fungi
Description: sequence contains ITS1
Source: RNAcentral
UUAUUAUAAUUUGUUUUAAACAAAAAUCAGACGAUAUAAAAAGGGUGGAUAAAUGUCUUUGGCAGGCACCUUUCAGUUUAACCUUUCAAGCUUGCGCCAUCCAGGAUACCUGCCAAAGCAACAGUGUAGAUUCACAAGUGUGUAGAAGAGAGAGGGCCGAAGCCCAGACUUUCAUUAAUGAUCCUUCCGCAGGUUCACCUACGGAAA